This 497-nucleotide ribosomal RNA is filed under the name uncultured bacterium. RNAcentral describes it as "partial 16S ribosomal RNA". It matches the Rfam family "Bacterial small subunit ribosomal RNA", at positions 28 to 507 of the family's 1533-position model. The record is from RNAcentral.
GAUGAACGCUGGCGGCGUGCCUAAUACAUGCAAGUCGAGCGAACGGACGAGAAGCUUGCUUCUCUGAUGUUAGCGGCGGGCGGGUGAGUAACACGUGGAUAACCUAUCUAUAAGACUGGGAUAACUUCGGGAAACCGGAGCUAAUACCGGAUAAUAUUUUGAACCGCAUGGUUCAAAAGUGAAAGACGGUCUUGCUGUCACUUAUAGAUGGAUCCGCGCUGCAUUAGCUAGUUGGUAAGGUAACGGCUUACCAAGGCAACGAUGCAUAGCCGACCUGAGAGGGUGAUCGGCCACACUGGAACUGAGACACGGUCCAGACUCCUACGGGAGGCAGCAGUAGGGAAUCUUCCGCAAUGGGCGAAAGCCUGACGGAGCAACGCCGCGUGAGUGAUGAAGGUCUUCGGGUCGUAAAACUCUGUUAUUAGGGAAGAACAUAUGUGUAAGUAACUGUGCACAUCUUGACGGUACCUAAUCAGAAAGCCACGGCUAACUACGUG